This 273-nucleotide unclassified non-coding RNA is filed under the name Glomeromycota sp. RNAcentral describes it as "partial contains 5.8S ribosomal RNA and internal transcribed spacer 2". The stretch from base 1 to 65 matches the Rfam family "5.8S ribosomal RNA", at positions 84 to 154 of the family's 154-position model. Lineage: Eukaryota; Fungi; Glomeromycota. The record is from RNAcentral.
GUGAAUCAUCGAAUCUUUGAACGCAAAUUGCACUCUCCUCGGUGAGGAUGCCUGUUUGAGGGUCAGCGUAUGAUUAAUCGAAAACGUUGCUGUUUGACGGUGACGUUGGUAGGAAAUUGGGUCAUGUUAGAUCUUUUUGGGUUAAGCGAGUUAAAAUUUUUUUAUUGAUUUUAUGAACGUGUUUUUAAGCUUUAUUUGUUUACACGUGUUAUGUAUUGAUUUUUAUUAGACGUGACUAUCAUAUCGCAUAUAGUCCAUAAUCUUCCUUUACCU